UACUCCGGGGAUAACAGGCUGAUACCGCCCAAGAGUUCACAUCGACGGCGGUGUUUGGCACCUCGAUGUCGGCUCAUCACAUCCUGGGGCUGAAGCCGGUCCCAAGGGUAUGGCUGUUCGCCAUUUAAAGUGGUACGCGAGCUGGGUUUAGAACGUCGUGAGACAGUUCGGUCCCUAUCUGCCGUGGNCGUUNGAGAUUUGAGAGGGGCUGCUCCUAGUACGAGAGGACCGGAGUGGACGAACCUCUGGUGUUCCGGUUGUCACGCCAGUGGCAUUGCCGGGUAGCUAUGUUCGGAAGAGAUAACCGCUGAAAGCAUCUAAGCGGGAAACUUGCCUCAAGAUGAGAUCUCACUGGAGCCUUGAGCCCCCUGAAGGGCCGUCGAAGACUACGACGUUGAUAGGUUGGGUGUGUAAGCGCUGUGAGGCGUUGAGCUAACCAAUACUAAUUGCCCGUGAGGCUUGACCAUAUAACACCCAAACAAUU
Molecule: ribosomal RNA, 484 nt
Filed under: Halioglobus sp. HI00S01
Lineage: Bacteria; Pseudomonadati; Pseudomonadota; Gammaproteobacteria; Cellvibrionales; Halieaceae
Description: bacterial LSU rRNA
Rfam family: Bacterial large subunit ribosomal RNA
Source: RNAcentral